Molecule: transfer RNA, 72 nt
Filed under: Bos taurus (domestic cattle)
Lineage: Eukaryota; Metazoa; Chordata; Mammalia; Artiodactyla; Bovidae
Also listed under: 1 other name
Rfam family: tRNA
About the family: Transfer RNA (tRNA) molecules are approximately 80 nucleotides in length.
Source: Rfam by way of RNAcentral
UCCCUGGUGGCUCAGAUGGUAAAGCAUCUGCCUGCAAUGUGGUAGACCCAGGCUCGAUCCCUGGGUUGGGAA